GAUUUGGUGGCCGAGUGGUUAAGGCGUUACGUUUAGGAACUUGGUUCAAAACCGUAAUUCGAAAGAGCGCGAGUUCGAAUCUCGUCCAAAUCA
This is a transfer RNA of Tuber melanosporum (Perigord truffle), 93 nucleotides long. It matches the Rfam family "tRNA". From Rfam's summary of the family: Transfer RNA (tRNA) molecules are approximately 80 nucleotides in length. Their secondary structure includes four short double-helical elements and three loops (D, anti-codon, and T loops). NCBI's taxonomy places the organism in Eukaryota, Fungi, Ascomycota, Pezizomycetes, Pezizales, Tuberaceae. The record is from Rfam.